GAAAUGCGAUAAGUAGUGUGAAUUGCAGAAUUCAGUGAAUCAUCGAAUCUUUGAACGCACAUUGCGCCCCUUGGUAUUCCAUGGGGCAUGCCUGUUCGAGCGUCAUUUGUACCCUCAAGCUCUGCUUGGUGUUGGGUGUUUGUCCCGUCUCCGCGCGUGGACUCGCCCCAAAGUGAUUGGCAGCCGGCGUACUGGUCCCGGAGCGCAGCACAUGUCGCGCAAACGAGUGCCUUGGUACGGCGGCGUCCAUAAGCCCCUCUCUCACGCUCUUGACCUCGGUUCAGGUAGGGAUACCCGCUGAACUUAAGC
RNAcentral lists this unclassified non-coding RNA (309 nucleotides) under plant metagenome. RNAcentral describes it as "partial contains 5.8S ribosomal RNA, internal transcribed spacer 2, and large subunit ribosomal RNA". The stretch from base 1 to 105 matches the Rfam family "5.8S ribosomal RNA", at positions 50 to 154 of the family's 154-position model. The record is from RNAcentral.